CUCUCCCUCCCAGACCCUCCCACCUCCUGGACAGCAUCCAUUUUGAAGCUGCAUUCUUAGUGAGCUGUCCAGGAGGUGGGAGGGUCUGGGAGGGAGGG
This 98-nucleotide microRNA precursor is filed under the name Pelobates cultripes (western spadefoot toad). Lineage: Eukaryota; Metazoa; Chordata; Amphibia; Anura; Pelobatidae. The record is from RNAcentral.